CUGAGUAUUUUAUGGGGGAGAGAAUCAUGUGACAUUCCCCCUUUCCUUACUAGACUUGCCAAUCUUAUGUGGGGUGAACCCAUUUUUGCCUUUCUCAUUUGAAUGUUGCUCUAUUUUGCCAAUAGACAAUUAUGACAUGCUUGCAUGUUCAUAGUUAGUGCACCUCACAUUGGUCACUUAGCUCAUCCAAAAUGAGCUUGAUAUCUCAUGAAACUCUCAUGUCAUGUGCACAUGUGUCAAUCACAUGCCCACUUGCCACAUUUAUGCCACACAUACUACUCUCUUUCCAUGCACGCCUAUUCUAAUUAUGUUCUAAGAACUGCCAAAUAUCAACCUAUCAUACUCUAACAUCAUGUGGAGUGCUAUGUGCCCCUAUUGUGCUGAUGUUGUGCUAGCAUAGUCCACCAUUUAUGUUGUGUUACCCCACUUGUUGCAUAUGUGAUACCAAUCCUCAUAUGUUAGAUCAGCACAACAUGUCUAGUGUGCACUUGCGUGCAUAUAACCACCAACACUACAAAGGGAUAUGCCUAGACCUUUCAAUAAAAACCUCACUCAAUGACACUAGAGGCAUCACAUUGAGUAAUGGCUGCAUAACCUACUACAAAC
Molecule: long non-coding RNA, 606 nt
Filed under: Spirodela polyrhiza (greater duckweed)
Lineage: Eukaryota; Viridiplantae; Streptophyta; Magnoliopsida; Alismatales; Araceae
Description: long non-coding RNA (SPOL_LNC002677)
Source: RNAcentral